Non-coding RNA from Bos taurus (domestic cattle), 72 nucleotides. NCBI's taxonomy places the organism in Eukaryota, Metazoa, Chordata, Mammalia, Artiodactyla, Bovidae. The record is from Rfam.
UCCCUGGUGUCUCAGGUGGUAAAGCAUCUGCCUGCAAUGCAGGAGGCCCAGGUUCGAUCCCUGGAUGGGGAA